UUCGGGCGCCGGCGAGUGGCGAACGGGUGAGUAACACGUGGAGACCUAUCCAUUGGUGGGGGACAACAGCUGGAAACGGCUGCUAAUACCGCAUAAUCCCUACGGGGGAAAGAUUUAUCGCCAUAGGAGGGUUCCGCGUCGGAUUAGCUAGUUGGUGGGGUAACGGCCUACCAAGACAACGAUCCGUAGCUGGUCUUAGAGGAUGAUCAGCCACACUGGGACUGAGACACGGCCCAGACUCCUACGGGAGGCAGCAGUGGGGAAUAUUGCGCAAUGGAGGAAACUCUGACGCAGCGAUGCCGCGUGGGUGAAGAAGGCCUUAGGGUUGUAAAGCCCUUUCAGUGGGAACGAUGGUGACGGUACCCACAGAAGAAGCCCCGGCUAACUCCGUGCCAGCAGCCGCGGUAAUACGGAGGGGGCGAGCGUUGUUCGGAAUUAUUGGGCGUAAAGCGCGCGUAGGCGGUUUAUUAAG
Molecule: ribosomal RNA, 472 nt
Filed under: uncultured Magnetococcus sp.
Lineage: Bacteria; Pseudomonadati; Pseudomonadota; Magnetococcia; Magnetococcales; Magnetococcaceae
Description: bacterial SSU rRNA
Rfam family: Bacterial small subunit ribosomal RNA
Source: RNAcentral